GUAUAAAGUGGCGAACGGCUGAGUAACACGUGGGCAACCUGCCCUUUGCACUGGGAUAGCCUCGGGAAACCGAGGUUAAUACCGGAUACUCCAUAUUUGUCGCAUGGCGAAUAUGGGAAAGCUCCGGCGGCAAAGGAUGGGCCCGCGGCCUGUUAGCUAGUUGGUGGGGUAGUGGCCUACCAAGGCAAUGAUGGGUAGCCGGGUUGAGAGACCGACCGGCCAGAUUGGGACUGAGACACGGCCCAGACUCCUACGGGAGGCAGCAGUG
RNAcentral lists this ribosomal RNA (268 nucleotides) under uncultured Atopobium sp. RNAcentral describes it as "partial 16S ribosomal RNA". It matches the Rfam family "Bacterial small subunit ribosomal RNA", at positions 88 to 356 of the family's 1533-position model. The record is from RNAcentral. Lineage: Bacteria; Bacillati; Actinomycetota; Coriobacteriia; Coriobacteriales; Atopobiaceae.